UACGUAGGGUCCGAGCGUUGUCCGGAAUUAUUGGGCGUAAAGGGCUCGUAGGCGGUCUGUUGCGUCGGGAGUGAAAACUUACAGCUUAACUGUGAGCGUGCUUUCGAUACGGGCAGACUUGAGGCAUUCAGGGGAGAACGGAAUUCCUGGUGUAGCGGUGAAAUGCGCAGAUAUCAGGAGGAACACCGGUGGCGAAGGCGGAUCUCUGGGCCGAUACUGACGCUGAGGAGCGAAAGCGUGGGGAGCGAACAGG
RNAcentral lists this ribosomal RNA (253 nucleotides) under uncultured bacterium. RNAcentral describes it as "partial 16S ribosomal RNA". It matches the Rfam family "Bacterial small subunit ribosomal RNA", at positions 524 to 776 of the family's 1533-position model. The record is from RNAcentral.